This 810-nucleotide unclassified non-coding RNA is filed under the name Hevea brasiliensis (rubber tree). Lineage: Eukaryota; Viridiplantae; Streptophyta; Magnoliopsida; Malpighiales; Euphorbiaceae. The record is from RNAcentral.
CACAUUUUCAAUGUCACAACACUAAAUUUUAGCUCUAGGACGACGGACCAUGGAAUGCACCUCAACAUUUUUAAUAUAUCAACAGCUGGCUAAUUCAGACACUCCUAAGAUAUGGUGCGACAACAUACUAAACCUAUUUGGGAUUGGGACUGACCUUUUCAAGCAAGUUCUUAAGCUCAUCGCUCAUUUCAAUAUUCUCUUCCUUCAAUCUCUGACGCAUCUCAGGAGCUAAUUUGUCGGCAGCUAUGUAUAUCUUUAGCAGCAAUCUGUAAGCAAUGGAGUCAAGACUAUUAAUAUGCUUCAAGAUCUUGCAAAACUUCUCAGCACCAUCAAUAUCUUUCUCUUCACAAAAAUAAUUAAAAAAUGCAGUCACUGUCUCCUCCUUCGGUCGCCAGUCAUACUCAGCUCCAGAAAAAGCUGCUUUCAUAUGAUCAAAAGCCAAGUCCAGUUGAUGGAUCUUCAACGAGAAAACCAUGAACAUCUCCCGAGCCUUGAAGAAAGGCCCUUUGGCCCUCUUAAGUGCAUCAUCAAAGAUUGAUUCAGCUUCUUCAUACAUGUCCUGUUCCAGGUAGGCUCUUAUAGCAACAUUCGCUAACUUCAUAUCAUAACUGAGGCAACUGGAUUCCCACUCCUUAAAGCAUUUGGCUAUACCCUCGACAUCUUUUAGUUUGGCAAGUGCCUGAAGCAUUACUAGGUAACUCAAAUUGGUGAUCACAGGGAAACUCGACUUCAGGGAAUUCCACACUCGAUUGACCUCUCCAAGAUUAAACGUGCCACCAUAUAAGCUAAUCAGAAAAUGGUAAGCCUCCC